Molecule: ribosomal RNA, 400 nt
Filed under: uncultured bacterium
Lineage: Bacteria
Description: bacterial SSU rRNA
Rfam family: Bacterial small subunit ribosomal RNA
Source: RNAcentral
GGGGAAUAUUGGACAAUGGGCGCAAGCCUGAUCCAGCCAUGCCGCGUGAGUGAUGAAGGCCCUAGGGUUGUAAAGCUCUUUCACCGGUGAAGAUAAUGGCGGUAACCGGAGAAGAAGCCCCGGCUAACUUCGUGCCAGCAGCCGCGGUAAUACGAAGGGGGCUAGCGUUGUUCGGAAUUACUGGGCGUAAAGCGCACGUAGGCGGAUUGUUAAGUUAGGGGUGAAAUCCCAGGGCUCAACCCUGGAACUGCCUUUAAUACUGGCAAUCUAGAGUCCGAGAGAGGUGAGUGGAAUUCCGAGUGUAGAGGUGAAAUUCGUAGAUAUUCGGAGGAACACCAGUGGCGAAGGCGGCUCACUGGCUCGGUACUGACGCUGAGGUGCGAAAGCGUGGGGAGCAAAC